RNAcentral lists this ribosomal RNA (253 nucleotides) under uncultured bacterium. RNAcentral describes it as "partial 16S ribosomal RNA". It matches the Rfam family "Bacterial small subunit ribosomal RNA", at positions 524 to 776 of the family's 1533-position model. The record is from RNAcentral.
UACGUAGGGCGCAAGCGUUGUCCGGAAUCAUUGGGCGUAAAGAGCUCGUAGGCGGCCUGUCGCGUCCGCUGUGAAAUCCCGGGGCUUAACCCCGGGCGUGCAGUGGAUACGGGCUGGCUGGAGGCAGGCAGGGGAGAACGGAAUUCCCGGUGUAGCGGUGAAAUGCGCAGAUAUCGGGAGGAACACCGGUGGCGAAGGCAGUUCUCUGGGCCUGUACUGACGCUGAGGAGCGAAAGCGUGGGGAGCGAACAGG